CCCUUAGAUGUUCUGGGCCGCACGCGUGCUACACUGAUGCAUUCAACGAGUCUAAAACCUGGUCUGAUAGGGCUGGGUAAUCUUUUGAAAGUGCAUCGUGAUUGGGAUAGAUGAUUGCAAUUCUUCAUCUUCAACGAGGAAUGCCUAGUAAACGCAAGUCAUCAGCUUGCAUUGAUUACGUCCCUGCCCUUUGUACACACCGCCCGUCGCUCCUACCGAUUGAAUGAUCCGAUGAAUACCAUGGAUUGAGAGUACGAAUAGGUUCACUUAUUUCUGCUGCUCGAGAAAUGGAGUAAAUCUUAUCAUUUAGAGGAAGGAGAAGUCGUAACA
This 330-nucleotide ribosomal RNA is filed under the name uncultured eukaryote. RNAcentral's name for it is "partial 18S ribosomal RNA". It matches the Rfam family "Eukaryotic small subunit ribosomal RNA", at positions 1470 to 1796 of the family's 1831-position model. The record is from RNAcentral.